CCUGGCUCAGGAUGAACGCUAGCUACAGGCUUAACACAUGCAAGUCGAGGGGCAGCAUGGUCUUAGCUUGCUAAGGCCGAUGGCGACUGGCGCACGGGUGAGUAACGCGUAUGCAACUUGCCUAUCAGAGGGGGAUAACCCGGCGAAAGUCGGACUAAUACCGCAUGAAGCAGGGAUCCCGCAUGGGAAUAUUUGCUAAAGAUUCAUCGCUGAUAGAUAGG
RNAcentral lists this ribosomal RNA (221 nucleotides) under uncultured bacterium. RNAcentral describes it as "partial 16S ribosomal RNA". It matches the Rfam family "Bacterial small subunit ribosomal RNA", at positions 18 to 229 of the family's 1533-position model. The record is from RNAcentral.